RNAcentral lists this ribosomal RNA (478 nucleotides) under uncultured bacterium. RNAcentral describes it as "partial 16S ribosomal RNA". It matches the Rfam family "Bacterial small subunit ribosomal RNA", at positions 28 to 507 of the family's 1533-position model. The record is from RNAcentral.
GAUGAACGCUGGCGGCGUGCUUAACACAUGCAAGUCGAACGGGAAACCUUUUAUUGAAGCUUCUGCAGAUUUCGCUGGUUUCUAGUUGCGGCCGGGUUAGUAACGCGUGGGUAACCUGCCUUAUUCAGGGGGAUAACAACCAGAAAUGGUUGCUAAUACCGCAUAAGCGCACAGGACCGAAUGUUCCGGUGUGAAAAACUCCGGUGGUAUAAGAUGGACCCGCGUUGGCUUAGCUAGUUGGCAGGGUAACGGCAUACCAAGGCGACGAUCCAUAGCCGGCCUGGGAGCGUGAAAGGUCACAUUGGGACUGCGACACGGACCAGACUCGUACGGGAGGCAGCAGUGGGGAAUACUGCACAAGGGAGGAAGACGUGAUAAAGCGACGCCGCGUGAAAGAAGAAGUAUGUCGGGAUGUACACUUCCCUCAGACGGGGAGAUAGUGACGGUACCUGACAAAGAAGCCCCGGCUAACUACGUG